Carlito syrichta (Philippine tarsier) is the source of this 741-nucleotide RNA transcript. It is a transcript of the gene named prothymosin alpha-like, with no coding region annotated. Lineage: Eukaryota; Metazoa; Chordata; Mammalia; Primates; Tarsiidae. The transcript has a single exon. The record is from RefSeq and is a predicted model, not a curated record.
UGGCUGCUCUGAAAAGCCAUCUUUGCCUUGUUCCCGGUCAGGCUCUCUGCUCGCCUCCACUGCCUCCGCCGACUCCGGCAGCUUUAACGCCAGAGUCCUCGGACUCUCGUGCUCUCCUUAGUCCCUUGCAUCGGAACACCGGCGUGCCCCACCAUGUCAGACGCAGCCGCGGACACCCGCUCCGAGAUCACCACCAAGGACUUAAAGGAGAAGAAGGAAGUUGUGGAGGAGGCGGAAAAUGGAAGAGACGCCCCUGCUGAGGGGAAUGCUAAUGAGGAAAAUGGGGAGCCGGAGGCUGACAAUGAGGUAGAUGAAGAAGAGGAAGAAGGUGGAGAGGAGGAGGAGGGGGAGGAAGAAGAAGGUGAUGGUGAGGAGGAGGAUGGAGAUGAAGAUGAGGAAGCUGAGGCCGCUACCGGCUAACGGGCAGCUGGAGAUGAUGAGGAUGACGAUGUUGAUACUAAGACACAGAAGACCGAUGAGGAUGACUAGACAGCAAGAAAAGUAAAAGUUAAACUAAAAAAAAAAAAAAAGGCCGCCGUGACCUAUUCACCCUCCACUUCCCAUCUCAGAAUCGAAACGUGGUCACCUUCGAGUAGAGAGGCCCGCCGGCGGGCAGCGCCACCCACAGAUGACACAUGCUCUCCACCACCCCACCAAAACCAUGAGAAUUUGCAACAGGGGAGGAAAAAAGAACCCAAACUUCCAAGGCCCUGCUUUUUUUCUUAAAAGUACUUUAAAAAG